GGCGAUGUAGCCAAGUGGUUACGGCGAUUGAUUCGAAAUCAAUUCCUCUUUGAGGGCGUAGGUUCAAAUCCUGCCAUCGUCG
Molecule: transfer RNA, 82 nt
Organism: Sphaerobolus stellatus SS14
Lineage: Eukaryota; Fungi; Basidiomycota; Agaricomycetes; Geastrales; Sphaerobolaceae
Rfam family: tRNA
About the family: Transfer RNA (tRNA) molecules are approximately 80 nucleotides in length. Their secondary structure includes four short double-helical elements and three loops (D, anti-codon, and T loops).
Source: Rfam